This 883-nucleotide ribosomal RNA is filed under the name Metarhizium guniujiangense. Its description in RNAcentral is "partial large subunit ribosomal RNA". It matches the Rfam family "Eukaryotic large subunit ribosomal RNA", at positions 38 to 951 of the family's 3401-position model. Lineage: Eukaryota; Fungi; Ascomycota; Sordariomycetes; Hypocreales; Clavicipitaceae. The record is from RNAcentral.
GCAUAUCAAUAAGCGGAGGAAAAGAAACCAACAGGGAUUGCCCCAGUAACGGCGAGUGAAGCGGCAACAGCUCAAAUUUGAAAUCUGGCCCCUAGGGCCCGAGUUGUAAUUUGCAGAGGAUGCUUUUGGCGAGGUGCCUUCCGAGUUCCCUGGAAUGGGACGCCAUAGAGGGUGAGAGCCCCGUCUGGUUGGAUGCCGAGCCUUUGUAAAGCUCCUUCGACGAGUCGAGUAGUUUGGGAAUGCUGCUCUAAAUGGGAGGUAUAUGUCUUCUAAAGCUAAAUACCGGCCAGAGACCGAUAGCGCACAAGUAGAGUGAUCGAAAGAUGAAAAGCACUUUGAAAAGAGGGUUAAAUAGUACGUGAAAUUGUUGAAAGGGAAGCGCUUAUGACCAGACUUGGACCCGGUGAAUCAUCCAGCGUUCUCGCUGGUGCACUUUGCCGGGCUCAGGCCAGCAUCAGUUUGCCUUGGGGGAUAAAGGCUUUGGGAACGUGGCUCCCUCGGGAGUGUUAUAGCCCAUUGCACAAUACCCUGGGGCGGACUGAGGUUCGCGCAUCUGCAAGGAUGCUGGCGUAAUGGUCAUCAGCGACCCGUCUUGAAACACGGACCAAGGAGUCGUCUUCGUAUGCGAGUGUUCGGGUGUAAAACCCCUACGCGUAAUGAAAGUGAACGCAGGUGAGAGCUUCGGCGCAUCAUCGACCGAUCCUGAUGUUCUCGGAUGGAUUUGAGUAAGAGCAUACGGGGCCGGACCCGAAAGAAGGUGAACUAUGCCUGUAUAGGGUGAAGCCAGAGGAAACUCUGGUGGAGGCUCGCAGCGGUUCUGACGUGCAAAUCGAUCGUCAAAUAUGGGCAUGGGGGCGAAAGACUAAUCGAACCUUCUAGUAGC